CCGCGCCGCCUGUAGAAAACUCGAUGUUGCAGGCGCGGCGGUCCAACUGCUAAGAGCCGAAGCUGCUGGGCUGGGAAAUGGUUGCAGUCAAGAGCAUCCGCACAGGCUCUGCAGAAAGUCGGGGGUUAGAAAGGCUGCUCGGAGAUGCCUCCGCGCUGGAAACAGUCUGGCACCUCACUCCACAGCCCGAUUCCUGUAGCUUUUGACCCCGCCUCCACCUUUAGAGCGCUAGUGCUCUCUGGACCCAGAGUUUUGCCACAGCCUACAACCCGCUUGACAACAGGCCGACCCUUCCCCAUCUUUCCUACUAGCGCCCCAGCCGCUCUGGCUCUGGGGCUGGUUAAGUUUGCAUGACUGUAUCUCUGCUGGUAAACCACAAACCAUGAGGGAAGUAAGGGGUCCUGCAUCAGCGCUGGUCUCUGA
Molecule: long non-coding RNA, 423 nt
Filed under: Mus caroli (Ryukyu mouse)
Lineage: Eukaryota; Metazoa; Chordata; Mammalia; Rodentia; Muridae
Description: predicted gene 17226 (MGP_CAROLIEiJ_G0004196.1)
Source: RNAcentral